GGAACCGGCUUCUCCGGAUCCGAAGACCCGACCCGGCUUUCGGCCAAGGCGCUGACGUAGGUGUAGGCCGGAAUCAAUAGCGGCGAAGCGAGGAGGAGAAGGAGAGUGGCGGAGAAGACAUAAGAGAAGAUGGUGGAGGGGUCGGGGAUGAAGUCGUAGGCGAGGAGGUAGAGGGCGACGAAGACUGCGAGGCCGUUGAAGAACCAGAAGUAUCGAGACUCCUGCUUGUCCUCGGCGGCGGAAGACGACGGGGCGAUUUCACGGAGGAAGAUCAUGGCGGUGAGGCAGACGGCGAAGGGAGUGACGGCGAGCAUGAGUAUGAAGCUGGCGGAGUUGUUGUUGAACAUAGCCGCGCAAAGGUCGGUGAAUAUGGCGGUGCUCAGGCCAACGUAGCCUUUGAGAAUGCCGGAGACCGGUCCCCGGUUGCUCCGGAAGUUCCGAAUACA
This 446-nucleotide long non-coding RNA is filed under the name Fragaria vesca (wild strawberry). Its description in RNAcentral is "long non-coding RNA (FVES_LNC000534)". The record is from RNAcentral. Lineage: Eukaryota; Viridiplantae; Streptophyta; Magnoliopsida; Rosales; Rosaceae.